Molecule: non-coding RNA, 5243 nt
Organism: Arachis ipaensis
Lineage: Eukaryota; Viridiplantae; Streptophyta; Magnoliopsida; Fabales; Fabaceae
Source: RefSeq, a predicted model, not a curated record
CACCUGCAGUCAACAACUCAAUUAAAUAUUUAUAUGAAAUCUAAGCCACAACCACAAAAAAUGAUGAGUUCCAAACAAACUAAGCAUAAGACAUCAAGAAAAGUGCUUAAAGACAGGUACCGCGUGAAGCCAUUGUCUAAACACUAUUAAUUUCCACAAAGACUAGUUUCCAUUGGUCAUACUUUAGAUUUUUGAAUACUUUGUUUCAUCCUUCAAAGAAGAAGAUAAAAAUGAAGUAAACUGCAAAGUCAGCUAUGCACUCCACUGCAUACAAUUAUUGCUGAAUACCUUUACCUUGCACCAUUAUUGCAAUAUUCCUCUCUCUUCCUUACAUUCUCAAAAUCCGAUCACGCACUGAUUCAUUUGCUGUUUUUCUGAUCAUCAUACUAUGGCUGAAGCACUUCUUUCUGGCUUCAUCAACGUUGUUCUUGAGAGGCUCAUUUCACGUGAGUUUGUCAACUUGGUGGUGGGCAAGAAGCUGGACCGGAAGUUGGUUGACAGGCUCAAGACUGCUAUCUUGGCUGCCAAAGCUCUGGCUGCUGACGCUGAGCAGAAGCAGUUUGGACACGAACUCGUCAGGGAGUGGCUUGAUAGUCUCAAGGAUGCUCUCUACACUGCUGAUGACUUGCUGGACCGUGUCUUCAUCAAAGCUCAAAUUCGCAGCAAGACACGCAUUCAUCGUCCUGGCUUCCUUGAUUUGUCUGGUAGGAAGAUGGUGACUAAGAUAGAAGAGGUGGUUGAAAGAAUAGAAGAUCUUGAGAAACGCAAAGAUACCCUUGGUCUCAAAGACAUUCCAACGGGUAGCUCCUCAUGGAGACCUCCAUCCACUUCUCUUGUCAAGGGGAAUUUGUUCGGCAGGGAUGGUGACCAACAGGCAUUAAUCAAGAUGCUAAACGACAACAAUGAUCAUCAGUUGUCUCUCAUCUCUAUUGUUGGUAUGGGAGGGGUUGGUAAAACAGCUUUAGCCCGAUGGCUAUACAACAAUGAGGCUUUGAUGAAGGAGUUUGAUCCAAAAGCAUGGAUUUGUGUUUCUGAAAAUUUUGAUGUUGUUGAGACUACAAAGAAUGUUAUAAAGGAGAUCAAUUCAGGUGAUUGUAGCCUUGACAGCUUCGAAUCACUUCAAAAAGAUUUGAAGAAAAGACUGUCAGAAAAGAAGUUCUUCAUUGUUUUGGACGAUGUUUGGAGUGAAGAUGCUGACAUGUGGAAUAGUUUUAUCACCCCUUUUCAACAUGGGAGAAAGGGGAGCACUGUUCUUGUAACUACUCGCAAGGUAAAUGUUGGUCGAAUAGUCCAACACUAUAACUCUUACACUCUGAAGCAACUGUCAGAUGAUUAUUGUUGGUCUAUUUUUGCCGACAAUGCAUCCUUUCCAGAAUCAAAUGGAAGCUCAGAACUGGAAGGAAUUGGUAAAAAGAUUGUCAAGAGGUGUGAUGGCUUGCCGUUAGCCGCAGAAACACUUGGACGCUUGUUGCGCUCAGAGCAUCGUGUUGAAGAAUGGAAUAAAAUACUAUUGAGUGACAUUUGGGACUUUCCCGUGGAAAAUUGUAAGAUUGUUCCUGCAUUGUUAUUAAGUUACCAUCAUCUGCCUACUCAUUUAAAACGUUGCUUUGUUUAUUGUUCAUUGUAUCCCAAAGAUCAUAAACUUGAUAAAGAUAAACUAAUGUUGCUUUGGAUUGCUGAAGACCUUUUACAACCACCGAGGGGACAAACUUUAGAAGAAGUUGGUUGCAAGUGUUUUGAUGAUUUGGCUUCAAGACUAUUUUUCAAGCAGGUCGAUAACGAUGAUGAGAAGUAUUUCGUGAUGCAUGAUCUCAUGCAUGACUUAGCAACUUUUCUUGCUGGAGAUCUUUAUUGUAGAUUCUCAGAACUUGGUGAAAAGAAAGAGAGGAGUAUUCUAACUCGUCAUUUGUUAUUCGAUCGUUCAAUCCGUAAGAAAACAUGCUCUUGUAGUAAAAUAGAAUCUUUGAGGACAUUAUUGUAUAUCAAUCAUGGAACUCGCGCAACAUUAUCAUGUGACCUAUUGUCAAGGAAUAAAUACUUGAGAGUUUUGUCCGUUCAUACACUCAAUAUAUUUCCUUAUUCGAUAGCUAAAAAAUUGAUCCAAUUGCGCUAUUUGGAUCUCUCUUGGAGUGCUGUUAAGAUAUUGCCCGAGUCAUUAUGCAACAUGUGCAAUCUACAAACUUUAAAGUUACAAGGAUGUUCAGAGCUGACUAAGUUGCCUGGUAGCUUGGGUGAAUUGAUCAACCUACGCUAUUUGCAUCUCUCUGGAAGUGCUGUUGAGACACUGCCAGAGUCAUUGUGCAACUUGUGCAAUCUACAAACUUUAAAGUUAGCAGGUUGUUCAAAGCUGACUAUACUGCCCAAUGACAUGUAUAAGCUUAUGAAUUUGCGGCAUCUUGAUAUAUGGGGUACUCCUCUGAAAGAAAUGCCAAAAGGAAUGGGCAAAUUAAAACAGUUGCACACUUUAAGCAAGUUUGUGGUGGGAAAGCAAGAAGACAAUGUAAUCCAAGAGUUAGGAGGACUUUUAAAUCUUCAUGGAUCACUUACGAUUCAGAAAUUGGAAAAUGUGGUUGAUGGCAAUGAGGCAAGGAGAGCAAGGAUAAUAGAUAAGAAGCACGUUGAUGAAGUAUUGUUGGAAUGGUCUCUAUCUUCAGGUGAUGAUAUGGUUUCAAACACACAUACUGAUGAACAAGAUAUACUUGGGGGCUUGCAACCACACACUGGUUUGAAAAAGUUGAGUGUUUGUGGAUACAAAGGUAAAAUAUUUCCAGAUUGGAUGGGGCAUUCCUUGUACCAAAACAUGACAAGUGUAUCUCUACAAUAUUGCUGGAAUUGCUGCGUGCUUCCGUCACUUGGACAGCUGCCAUCUCUCAAGUCCCUAAGCAUUCAUGGUUUUCGUCAGCUGAAGAGAAUUGGCAAGGAGUUUUACAAGAAUGAAGGCGAUCAACAUUCUUCGCCUAUUGCACCGUUUCCCUCACUGGAGCGUAUGCAGUUUCAUGACAUGCCAUGUUGGGAAGAGUGGCACUUACCUGACUCAGAAGCCUUUCGUCAGCUUAAGAUCCUUCAAAUAAGAGGGUGUCGAAUGUUAAAGGGAGAUAUGGUUAAUCAGGUAUUCAUGAGAAUCGUUUCUUCCUCAUCGGAUGUUUCCAAAGUGCGCCAACUGAAAAUACGAGAAGGUCAUACAGAAUCGGAUAAAUGGAUGAGGCUUAAUGGGGAUAGUUUAUCAAUUAGGGGAUUUGAAUGUGUGGCGGAGUGUGCAUUUAAGGCAAGGAUCAUCCACCAUCUAACUUCCCUCCAAGAAAUACAUUUCUUGUGGUGUGAGUCUGUUGUAUCCUUGGGGAACAAUUGUUUACCCAAAUCUUUGCAAAAGCUCAGAAUAUAUAGGUGCAGCCAAAUUGAAUUACUCCAGCAACAACAGAAAUAUGAUUUGGUAGAUCUACAGAUAGAUGAGAGCUGUGAUUCACUGACCUCAUUGUCGUUGGAUGCCUUUCCAAAUCUCAAGAAUCUGGAGAUAGAAGGGUGUUCAAAUCUGGAAUCAGUUUCAAAGUCAGAGCCACCACACGCUUCUCUUCAACGUCUCACCAUCGAGGGCUGCUGCAAAUUAGUGUCGUUUGCAAGAGAAGGACUGGCUGCACCCAACUUGACUCAUCUCGAUGUUAGCGGCUGCUGGAAGUUGGAGGCAUUGCCACGUGACAUGAAUAGUCUUCUCCCAAAUUUACAGUCUCUCAACAUACGAGGUUGCCCAAACAUUUGCAGGUCGCCAGAGGGUGGUUUACCGACUAACCUGAAAGAGCUUAGGGUUGGAGGAUGCGAGGAACAAGUGAGGGGUGUAUCAUGGUUGGGCAACUUGGACAACCUCACUCAUCUUUUCAUUAAUGGUUUUGGGUGUAAGAGCAUAAAGUCAUACCCAGAGGUGGGUUCGCUGCCUCGCCUUCCCUCCCUUACCACUCUUGAGAUACGGUCGUUUCAUAAUCUGGAGACAUUGGAGUGCAACGAGCUUCUCCGCCUCACCUCCCUCCAAGAAUUACACAAUUCAUUGUGUCAUAAGCUGGAGAAUAUUGCAGGAGAAAAGCUGCCUCCCUCUCUCUUACUACUUCAAAUUGACAACUGUCAUUUGCUGGGCAAACACUGCAAGAACAAGCAUCAACAAAUUUGGUCCAAAAUUUCCCACAUCCCCACCAUUCAAGUCGAUGACGACCAAAUUUUCUGAGCAGGUAGCUUAUGCACAUAUCAAGAUGUAAUCCUAUACAUUGGCUAUACAUCUUCAUCUAAUUCUAAGUUCAUUUGUGGUGGUAAUUAAGCUCGAUUGAUGUAUUCGGAAACAGAAACUCUGUGUUUUCUGAUUUUGGCUUCAAGUUAUUGAAAAGCAAAGAUAUGAUGGAGAAAGUUGGUGACACUCAUUAUUGAAAAGCUUUGGUUGUUGUUGAUUUCCCAAGGUGAUGAAGGUAUGUAGCUAAUGCGGUCAAGAUUCAAAGAAUAUGCUUUCCACAUUUAAAGAUGACAAUCCUAUACCUGAAAUAGUCAUUAGAAGGAGAAAUUAUAGUGAUGCCAUCGGACAACAAUUUCAUUCCUGUCAACUUCACUCAAUGGAAGUAUAUAUUGAGGUUUGGUAACCAUAUCUAAAUUAUCUUCAUUCAAUCCAAAGUUCAUCAGAAAAGGUGCUCUUAAAUUUUAGCUUCAGGUCUGGGCUUUGAGUGUUGAUGGCUCGUCGAUUCUGCUGAGAAUGUCGAGCUUACUAGCUCUGCUUUUGAAAAUUAUAAACCCUAGUUCUCAAAUUGGGAAACCCUUUACCCAGCCACCAGCCACACCCACGGAAGAGAGACGAGAGAUCCAAAGAGUGGGGAGCCGCGAGGGAAGAAGAGGAAGUAGGGAGAGACAGGACCGUGCCCAAUCAUCACUGUCGUGCUACGUCCCGCUGUUGCCGCCAUCGCGCCUGGUGCUGCACGCCGAGCUCGUUCCUUCAUCGUCAACGCUGCCAGAGAGGAGAGAAGAGGGAGACGUGAUGCAAGCCAAGGCCAAGAGGAAGGGGACGCCGCCGUGCCUCCAUCGCGAUUGAUCCGCCGCCACUAUUGUUGGGUCCGCCGUGGGAAGAAACGCGAUGGUGGGGAAAGAAUCUGUCACUGCUGCUGAGCUCUGCCCCUGUUUUUGGUUUGUCUUUCUAAAGCCGCUGUUGUCAUUGGAGUUACAUGAUUGGAGGAAAGAUGGAACUGCUGCUGCCAUGGCCGCCGCGCCUCUACCACCAA